AUAGGUCCAGCCCAGGCACAGUGGCUGAAGCCUGGAAUCCUCCCGCUUCCUGCUUCGGGAGACCAAGGCAAGAGGAUCUCUCGAAGUCAGGGCACGGAGAAGCUCUCGCUCAUCGCUGCCUCCUACCACUCCGAACAUGCUGCAGUCUCGUUGACCACGCUGCAGUCUUGGUGGCCACCACCAACUGCAGGGAGCCUGGCCAGGUGCCGCAAGUUGCAGCCUCCACCUCCUCCUCUAAGUCGGGCUUGGAGCAGCAGCGGGAGCAGUCACAGAAGAGGCUGGAAUGGUGGAAUGCACCCUCAGUAUGCAUUAUAUAUAGAGGUUUCGG
RNAcentral lists this long non-coding RNA (328 nucleotides) under Homo sapiens (human). RNAcentral's name for it is "HSALNT0340907". The record is from RNAcentral. Lineage: Eukaryota; Metazoa; Chordata; Mammalia; Primates; Hominidae.